GAUGAACGCUGGCGGCGUGCCUAACACAUGCAAGUCGAACGAAGCACUUUUUUACGAUUUCUUCGGAAUGACGGUUUUGUGACUGAGUGGCGGACGGGUGAGUAACGCGUGGAUAACCUGCCUCAUACAGGGGGAUAACAGCCGGAAACGGCUGCUAAUACCGCAUAAGCGCACGGUACCGCAUGGUACAGUGUGAAAAAACUCCGGUGGUAUGGGAUGGAUCCGCGUCUGAUUAGCCAGUUGGCGGGGUAACGGGCCCACCAAAGCGACGAUCAGUAGCCGACCUGAGAGGGUGACCGGCCACAUUGGGACUGAGACACGGGCCCAGACUCCUACGGGAGGCAGCAGUGGGGGAUAUUGCACAAUGGGGGAAACCCUGAUGCAGCGACGCCGCGUGAGGGAAGAAGGUUUUCGGAUUGUAAACCUCUGUCUUCGGUGACGAAAAUGACGGUAGCCGAGGAGGAAGCCACGGCUAACUACGUG
This 483-nucleotide ribosomal RNA is filed under the name uncultured bacterium. RNAcentral describes it as "bacterial SSU rRNA". It matches the Rfam family "Bacterial small subunit ribosomal RNA", at positions 28 to 507 of the family's 1533-position model. The record is from RNAcentral.